Molecule: ribosomal RNA, 1866 nt
Filed under: Triticum aestivum (bread wheat)
Lineage: Eukaryota; Viridiplantae; Streptophyta; Magnoliopsida; Poales; Poaceae
Description: partial small subunit ribosomal RNA
Source: RNAcentral
AUGGGCACCGCCGCGCGCCCGCGCGGCGCCCCCGAGCCGCUGAAGCAGCGCGUGAACCGCUGCCUCCUCCGGCUCUCGGACCGCGACACCGAGGCCAUGGCGGCGGCCGAGCUCGACGCCAUCGCGCGCGCCCUGGCCGCGGACGAGCUCGCGGCCUUCGUCUCCGCCGUCUCCGACGCGCGCCCCACCGACAAGACCCCGCUCCGGCGCCACUCGCUCCGCCUCCUCGCGCUCGUCGCCGCGUCGCACCCGCGCGAGGCCGUCGCGCCGCUCGUCCCGCGCAUCCUCGCCGCGGCGCUCCGCCGCGUCCGCGACCAGGACUCGUCCGUGCGCGGCGCGCUCGUCGACGCCGCCCGCGCCGCCGCGGCGGCCUCCGCCUCCGCCGCCGCCGCGCUCGGCCCCCUCGCGGACGCGCUCCUACACGAGCAGGACCAGUGCGCGCAGCUCGCGGCCGCGCUCGCCACCGUCGCCGCCGUCGAGGCCUCCCCGCUCACCGCCGACCUCGCCUCCUACCUCCACAAGCUCCAGCCCCGCCUCCUCAAGCUCCUCCGCAGCAAUGCCUUCAAGGCCAAGCCCGCCCUCAUCGCCCUCAUCGGCGCCUCCGCGGCCGUGGCCGGCGACGCCGAAGUGACCGCCUCCAUCCCGUGCCUCCGCGAGGCAAUCGCCAGCGACGACUGGGCGGCGAGGAAGGCCGCGGCUGAGGCGCUAGCCGCAUUCGCCCUAGAAUACAAGGAUCUUCUCAUGACCUACAAAUCCUCUUGCCUUGCCUAUUUUGAGGCCAGGAGGGUCGAUAAGGUCAAGAUUGUGCGGGACUCGAUGAGCAGGAUGAUCGAGGCGUGGAAAGAGAUACCAGACAUCGAAGAGGAAGAAUUAUCCUCGUGUACGGCGCCGGCGUCACUUUCACAACGAAGAUCUUCUCUCGCAGGGAGUGUAAGUGAUGGGAGAUAUCCAGCUGCUUCCUUAGGCUCAAAUUCCGUUCAAUCGGCGACAAGGAAGAAUAGAUUACCUACGAGCAGGUCGCCUCCUCCUGAUGUGUCACCCGGUGUCACAAGAAAGCACAGCCCCUCAUCCAUCAGAAACAAGAGGCUGUCACCGCCUUCAGACCGCAAGGUAGGCCAAGCGAAGAACUGCGACUACAAGGUUGACACUGCAAUUGCACCUGAUGCUACCCCGAUCAAAGAGGUGACGGAGGAGAAGCUUCUGAAAGGAGGCAAUCUGAGAUCUAGGCUGGAAACAAGGAGGGCGCUUUUCCAGGGCAACGAAGAGAGGGCAACCAAGUUGGCUGGAGCGAAAGCUGGCUCGCGAGUUGUUCCGUAUGAAUGUGGUGGUAACAUGGAAGAGAUUUCUGAGGUUGAAGGUGGUUCAGAGAGGGCUCAGUCAGGUCUCAAAGACGAGGGCUUAUCAGAGAUAAGGUCGCAGCUGCUUCAGAUUGAAAAACAGCAGACUGGUUUACUUGACCUUCUCCAGAAAUUUAUGGGGAAAUCUGAGAAUGGCAUGAAUUCUUUGGAGACAAGGGUCCAUGGCCUAGAGAUGGCAUUGGAUGAGAUAUCACGUGACUUGGCCGUUUCUUCUGAAAGGAUGUCAAGCAGUGAGCCCCGUGUGAACACCUGUUGCAUUCUGAGCCCAAAAUUCUGGAGAAGGCAUGAUGGUGGUAGAAACUCUUCCAGGUUUUCUGCCUCCAGUGUUCCAAACAGCUCGGAAGGGAGCAGAACUUCUUACAAGUGGGAAAGGCAGAAGUUUGGAGUUCAGGGUGGAUUUGUCACCAACCCGUUAGCUGAGCCAAAUAUUUCUUCUGUUGGGAGAACUGCGAUCACUCAAGAAGGCAGGAGGAAGGAUUUGGCUCUACAGAAGUCAAGGGUUGGUUAG